Molecule: non-coding RNA, 625 nt
Organism: Jatropha curcas
Lineage: Eukaryota; Viridiplantae; Streptophyta; Magnoliopsida; Malpighiales; Euphorbiaceae
Source: RefSeq, a predicted model, not a curated record
ACCCUGCACUUUAAAGGCAAACAAAAAUGCCUGCACACUAAAAGCUUCUUUCUUUCUCUGCAAAUUUCAGUUACUUUGAAUUUCAAGCAGUUUACACUUUACAGUGUUAUACACAGAAACCCUUUUCUCUCUCUUCUUGUGUCUUUCUCGCCUGGACAUGUAAUUGAACCAUUGGGCCAUCAGCUUUAAGAUUUUCAAAUUUAAAGUGGAAGGAAGAGCGAUCAGAGAGCCCUUGAAGCCGUUGUCCAUAAGAGACUGAAGAGUUUUAUAAUAAACAUAUAUAGAAAUAAAGAAGAGAAAGAAAAAAGAAGGGUUUUGAAAAGAAAGGGUUUCGUUUUUUAUACAAGAGUGAAAUGGCUGAACCAACAUGUCUUAUGAGAUCAUUCUCUCACCCAUCUAGUGCUUCUCGUGAAGCCAAAGAGAAUUGAAGAAUCUGUCAUCAAAGAAGAAUCUCAGCAGAAUUGGAUUGAUAAUGUAGACUCUUUGCUUUCAUGGGAUGGCUUUAGUAAUCUGGAAGAGAUAUUUCCUUUUGACAGUCAUCAAUUAUGCUAAGGAAUAUAUAUGGAUUGUAAAUUUUUCUUUUUUUGACAGUCAUCAAUUAGAAUAAAUUAUAUCACAUAAAUUA